RNAcentral lists this ribosomal RNA (484 nucleotides) under uncultured bacterium. Its description in RNAcentral is "partial 16S ribosomal RNA". It matches the Rfam family "Bacterial small subunit ribosomal RNA", at positions 30 to 507 of the family's 1533-position model. The record is from RNAcentral.
AUUGAACGCUGGCGGAAUGCUUUACACAUGCAAGUCGAACGGCAGCACGGGGGCAACCCUGGUGGCGAGUGGCGAACGGGUGAGUAAUACAUCGGAACGUGCCCGGUCGUGGGGGAUAACGUAGCGAAAGUUACGCUAAUACCGCAUACGAUCUGAGGAUGAAAGCGGGGGACCUUCGGGCCUCGCGCGAUCGGAGCGGCCGAUGUCAGAUUAGGUAGUUGGUGGGGUAAAGGCCUACCAAGCCGACGAUCUGUAGCUGGUCUGAGAGGACGACCAGCCACACUGGGACUGAGACACGGCCCAGACUCCUACGGGAGGCAGCAGUGGGGAAUUUUGGACAAUGGGCGCAAGCCUGAUCCAGCCAUUCCGCGUGCAGGACGAAGGCCUUCGGGUUGUAAACUGCUUUUGUAUGGAACGAAAAGGCUCUGGCUAAUACCUGGGGCUCAUGACGGUUCCGUAAGAAUAAGCACCGGCUAACUACGUG